RNAcentral lists this ribosomal RNA (256 nucleotides) under uncultured bacterium. Its description in RNAcentral is "partial 16S ribosomal RNA". It matches the Rfam family "Bacterial small subunit ribosomal RNA", at positions 521 to 776 of the family's 1533-position model. The record is from RNAcentral.
UAAUACGAGGGGGGCGAAUGUUGUUCGGAAUCACUGGGCGUAAAGGGAGCGUAGGCGGGUUCUUAAGUAAGAUGUUUAAUCCCGGGGCCCAACCCCGGACCGGCAUUUUAAACUGGGAAUCUUGAAUAGUGGAGAGGUCGGUGGAAUUGGAGGUGUAGCGGUGGAAUGCGUAGAGAUCUCCAAGAACACCAGUUGCGAAGGCGGCCGACUGGACACAUAUUGACGCUGAGGCUCGAAAGCAUGGGGAGCAAACAGG